This 530-nucleotide ribosomal RNA is filed under the name Nocardia otitidiscaviarum. Its description in RNAcentral is "bacterial SSU rRNA". It matches the Rfam family "Bacterial small subunit ribosomal RNA", at positions 31 to 578 of the family's 1533-position model. Lineage: Bacteria; Bacillati; Actinomycetota; Actinomycetes; Mycobacteriales; Nocardiaceae. The record is from RNAcentral.
GAACGCUGGCGGCGUGCUUAACACAUGCAAGUCGAGCGGUAAGGCCCUUCGGGGUACACGAGCGGCGAACGGGUGAGUAACACGUGGGUGAUCUGCCUCGCACUCUGGGAUAAGCCUGGGAAACUGGGUCUAAUACCGGAUAUGAGCCGGGAAUGCAUGUUCCUGGUUGGAAAGGUUUACUGGUGCGAGAUGGGCCCGCGGCCUAUCAGCUUGUUGGUGGGGUAACGGCCCACCAAGGCGACGACGGGUAGCCGGCCUGAGAGGGCGAACGGCCACACUGGGACUGAGACACGGCCCAGACUCCUACGGGAGGCAGCAGUGGGGAAUAUUGCACAAUGGGCGAAAGCCUGAUGCAGCGACGCCGCGUGAGGGACGACGGCCUUCGGGUUGUAAACCUCUUUCGACAGGGACGAAGCGAAAGUGACGGUACCUGUAUAAGAAGCACCGGCCAACUACGUGCCAGCAGCCGCGGUAAUACGUAGGGUGCGAGCGUUGUCCGGAAUUACUGGGCGUAAAGAGCUUGUAGGCGG